GCCUUGAUAUGUGGAUUACCGAGAAGCAAAUAACAAACCACAGAAUGUAUCUGCUUCGUCAAUUUUAUAUAUUUUAAAGGAUUGGACUGAUUCACAGAAUCCAGCAGUGUCACCCCAAUGGUCCUUCAUUUGGUCAUUUUUUGCUUACUUGAAUUUCAUGUUAACGUAAAAGUUAACGUAUAAAGGCUUCAAAGACUUAUCGAGCAUUAAGAGAGCUAAUUUUACUUGAGAACUGUAAGAAUGACUCUGUGGUGGUAACUAUUAACUAAGUAACCUGUUAGUGAUUAGAAUCAUUUCACUCAUGUGUCUUAAAGAACAGGGCUUCCCAGUCACAUGCCGACUCAACUUUGUAACAGAUUAACAACAAAAACCUUUUAUUAAAAUUAAAGUAAGACCUGAAAGCUGCCUUGAGACUCCAAACUUUCUAAGCUAGGUGAUGUACAAAAGGAGAAAACUGUGUUUUAGUUUGUUUAUUGAAAUCUGAAGCAGAAAAUAAAAAAUAAAAAAAUUUACACAAUUUCAUUUGUGUUUUAUACUUUAAGGCCUAAAAUACCUUUUUAUAAAACUAUCUCUGCUAUAUUUAUGCACAAACUGACCAUACUGUCACUCUUUUUAAAAAGGAGCAGCAAUUUCCUUUAAAUAGUUACAAAGAACCAUACAACUCUUGUUUUGUUUUGUUUUUUGAGACACCAUGUAGACCAGGCUGGCCUGGAACUCACAGAGAUCUGCCUGACUGUGCCUCCUGAGUGCUGUGAUCAGGCAUGUGCCACCACACCUGGCUAACUUUUCCAGCUAGGACAAACCCUUUCAUCACACAAACUAAAAUAUGAAGUCUACAGCUUGUGAGCCUGUAGUUGGUCACUUAGACACUAACACUUACAGAAAUCUGCCUUGCCGGGUGUUCCAUUUUGCAUGACACAUAUGAAUCUUAUAACCUUCAUAAUCUUAUAACCUUUCAUAAUAAGGUUAAGAUGUUUCUAUGAAAGUCAGAAGCUAAAGUUCAACCUAAGUGAGUGAAGAACAGGAACCAACAAAAGGAGUUAAACAGGUGGAAAGGCCUGAGGUCUCACAGGCAGCAAGGGUGCCUUUCCAAAGCAGUCUUCAGUGGGCACCGUCCUCCUCUAUUCCUCAUGUUUCCAGAGCCCUGCAGAUGAGCAAAGAGAAUUUAACCUAUACAAAUUAAU
RNAcentral lists this long non-coding RNA (1184 nucleotides) under Cricetulus griseus (Chinese hamster). RNAcentral describes it as "lncRNA (ENSCGRG00015030427.1)". Lineage: Eukaryota; Metazoa; Chordata; Mammalia; Rodentia; Cricetidae. The record is from RNAcentral.